GCUAAAUAUUUCCACAGAACCGAUAGUGCACAAGUACCGUGAGGGAAAGUUGAAAAGUACUCUGAAGAGAGAGUCAAAAGACCGUGAAACCGCUCAGAGUAUAAGCCAAUGGUGUCUGGAAGGCUGUUUGCUGGCGCAUGAUUGAUCAUUGGCAUGCAGUAGUGGGUUCUCCCAAGAAGGUGGCCGUUGCCCGCUUAUAGACGGGAACCGGGCUGGUUUGCGUUCCUGGCGUGCUUUGGUGCGAAGCCUGCGUUGGAGGGGGUAACUCCUCUUUCGUGGGUGGCUGUGCCGGGUGCGUUGAGUGGACGGGAGUACAUUGUCUGCAAACGCCUAAGCAGCAACUCGAAGCCCACCACAGCACGUUGUAAGGUCACCCACAGGCGUUGCUGUUUCUGGUUGCGUCCUCGUACCACAUUCUUUGGAGGCAAAGUCGUGGAGUAACGCGGGGACGGGUAGAAGGGGCGCAAGCCCUAAGCACGUACUGGUAUGAUCCUAUGCGACGAGCUGCUUUCUGGUCUGUGCAGUAAAAGGUUAUACCUGAGUCAGAGCAGCGUUUCCGAUUGCCGGAGCCUGCUUCUUCUUGUUGCAUUGGGAAGUUCUACUUCCCGAGCAAUCGACUCCUGCCAGAGUGGUGAUCAGUCCAGCCCCAUCGGUCACGUCUCGAAACACGGG
RNAcentral lists this ribosomal RNA (672 nucleotides) under Grandidierella japonicoides. Its description in RNAcentral is "partial 28S rRNA". It matches the Rfam family "Eukaryotic large subunit ribosomal RNA", at positions 315 to 664 of the family's 3401-position model. The record is from RNAcentral. Lineage: Eukaryota; Metazoa; Arthropoda; Malacostraca; Amphipoda; Corophiidae.